CUCAGAUUGAACGCUGGCGGCAGGCUUAACACAUGCAAGUCGAGCGGGGUGAUGGUGCUUGCACUAUCACCUAGCGGCGGACGGGUGAGUAAUGCUUAGGAAUCUGCCUAUUAGUGGGGGACAACAUUUCGAAAGGAAUGCUAAUACCGCAUACGUCCUACGGGAGAAAGCAGGGGAUCUUCGGACCUUGCGCUAAUAGAUGAGCCUAAGUCGGAUUAGCUAGUUGGUGGGGUAAAGGCCUACCAAGGCGACGAUCUGUAGCGGGUCUGAGAGGAUGAUCCGCCACACUGGGACUGAGACACGGCCCAGACUCCUACGGGAGGCAGCAGUGGGGAAUAUUGGACAAUGGGCGCAAGCCUGAUCCAGCCAUGCCGCGUGUGUGAAGAAGGCCUUAUGGUUGUAAAGCACUUUAAGCGAGGAGGAGGCUACUUUAGAUAAUACCUAGAGAUAGUGGACGUUACUCGCAGAAUAAGCACCGGCUAACUCUGUGCCAGCAGCCGCGGUAAUACAGAGGGUGCAAGCGUUAAUCGGAUUUACUGGGCGUAAAGCGCGCGUAGGCGGCUAAUUAAGUCAAAUGUGAAAUCCCCGAGCUUAACUUGGGAAUUGCAUUCGAUACUGGUUAGCUAGAGUGUGGGAGAGGAWGGGUAGNNUUCCAGGUGUAGCGGUGAAAUGCGUAGAGAUCUGGAGGAAUACCGAUGGCGAAGGCAGCCAUCUGGCCUAACACUGACGCUGAGGUGCGAAAGCAUGGGGAGCAAACAGGAUUARAUACCCUGGUAGUCCAUGCCGUAAACGAUGUCUACUAGCCGUUGGGGCCUUUGAGGCUUUAGUGGCGCAGCUAACGCGAUAAGUAGACCGCCUGGGGAGUACGGUCGCAAGACUAAAACUC
RNAcentral lists this ribosomal RNA (886 nucleotides) under Acinetobacter sp. Its description in RNAcentral is "bacterial SSU rRNA". Lineage: Bacteria; Pseudomonadati; Pseudomonadota; Gammaproteobacteria; Moraxellales; Moraxellaceae. The record is from RNAcentral.